This 162-nucleotide non-coding RNA is filed under the name Palpitomonas bilix. The record is from RNAcentral.
AGAAAGGAAGGAAAGAAGGAGGAGGGAAGGAAGAAAGAAGAAAUGUCUUUAUUCAUCAUCCUUCACCUUCCUUUAUUUGGAAUACAUUUAAAAAAAAACGAAAUUCCUGUAAUAACCUGAAAAAGCAAAAGACUAACGUGGUAUUCUGAUAUUCCAACCAUA